UCCUACGGGAGGCAGCAGUGAGGAAUAUUGGUCAAUGGAGGCAACUCUGAACCAGCCAAGUCGCGUGAGGAUGAAGGUCUUAUGGAUUGUAAACUUCUUUUGCAAGGGAAUAAAGUGGGGGACGUGUCCUCCUUUGCAUGUACCUUGCGAAUAAGGAUCGGCUAACUCCGUGCCAGCAGCCGCGGUAAUACGGAGGAUCCGAGCGUUAUCCGGAUUUAUUGGGUUUAAAGGGUGCGCAGGCGGGAUGUUAAGUCGGCGGUGAAAUUUUGCAGCUCAACUGUAAAAGUGCCUUCGAUACUGGCUUUCUUGAGUGUGGAUGAAGUAGGCGGAAUUUGUGGUGUAGCGGUGAAAUGCUUAGAUAUCACGAGGAACUCCGAUUGCGCAGGCAGCUUACUAAACCACUACUGACGCUCAUGCACGAAGGCGUGGGGAUCAAACAGGAUUAGAUACCCUGGUAGUCCACGCAGUAAACGAUGAUUACUAGUUGUUUGCGAUACAAUGUAAGCGACUGAGCGAAAGCGUUAAGUAAUCCACCUGGGGAGUACGUUCGCAAGAAUGAAACUCAAAG
Molecule: ribosomal RNA, 568 nt
Filed under: uncultured Bacteroidota bacterium
Lineage: Bacteria; Pseudomonadati; Bacteroidota
Description: bacterial SSU rRNA
Rfam family: Bacterial small subunit ribosomal RNA
Source: RNAcentral